ACGUAUCCAACCUGCCGNCUACUCUUGGACAGCCUUCUGAAAGGAAGAUUAAUACAAGAUGGCAUCAUGAGUUCACAUGUUCACAUGAUUAAAGGUAUUCCGGUAGACGAUGGGGAUGCGUUCCAUUAGAUAGUAGGCGGGGUAACGGCCCACCUAGUCUUCGAUGGAUAGGGGUUCUGAGAGGAAGGUCCCCCACAUUGGAACUGAGACACGGUCCAAACUCCUACGGGAGGCAGCAGUGAGGAAUAUUGGUCAAUGGGCGAGAGCCUGAACCAGCCAAGUAGCGUGAAGGAUGACUGCCCUAUGGGUUGUAAACUUCUUUUAUAAAGGAAUAAAGUCGGGUAUGCAUACCCGUUUGCAUGUACUUUAUGAAUAAGGAUCGGCUAACUCCGUGCCAGCAGCCGCGGUAAUACGGAGGAUCCGAGCGUUAUCCGGAUUUAUUGGGUUUAAAGGGAGCGUANAUGGAUGGUUAAGUCAGUUGUGAAAGUUUGCGGCUCAAC
Molecule: ribosomal RNA, 500 nt
Filed under: uncultured bacterium
Lineage: Bacteria
Description: bacterial SSU rRNA
Rfam family: Bacterial small subunit ribosomal RNA
Source: RNAcentral